Molecule: ribosomal RNA, 617 nt
Filed under: uncultured bacterium
Lineage: Bacteria
Description: bacterial SSU rRNA
Rfam family: Bacterial small subunit ribosomal RNA
Source: RNAcentral
UGCAAGUCGAGCGCUACCUUCGGGUGGAGCGGCGGACGGGUUAGUAACGCGUGGGAAUAUACCCAGUUCUAAGGAAUAGCCACUGGAAACGGUGAGUAAUACCUUAUACGCCCUUCGGGGGAAAGAUUUAUCGGAAUUGGAUUAGCCCGCGUUAGAUUAGGUAGUUGGUGGGGUAAUGGCCUACCAAGCCUACGAUCUAUAGCUGGUUUGAGAGGAUGAUCAGCCACACUGGGACUGAGACACGGCCCAGACUCCUACGGGAGGCAGCAGUAGGGAAUCUUAGACAAUGGGGGCAACCCUGAUCUAGCCAUGCCGCGUGUGUGAUGAAGGCCCUAGGGUCGUAAAGCACUUUCGCCAGAGAUGAUAAUGACAGUAUCUGGUAAAGAAACCCCGGCUAACUCCGUGCCAGCAGCCGCGGUAAUACGGAGGGGGUUAGCGUUGUUCGGAAUUACUGGGCGUAAAGCGCACGUAGGCGGAUUAGUAAGUUAGAGGUGAAAUCCCAGGGCUCAACCCUGGAACUGCCUUUAAUACUGCUAGUCUUGAGUUCGAGAGAGGUAAGUGGAAUUCCGAGUGUAGAGGUGAAAUUCGUAGAUAUUCGGAGGGACACCAGUGGCGAA